Molecule: ribosomal RNA, 254 nt
Filed under: uncultured bacterium
Lineage: Bacteria
Description: partial 16S ribosomal RNA
Rfam family: Bacterial small subunit ribosomal RNA
Source: RNAcentral
UACGUAGGGUGCGAGCGUUGUCCGGAAUUAUUGGGCGUAAAGAGCUCGUAGGCGGUCUGUCGCGUCGAUCGUGAAAACUUGGGGCUUAACCCUGAGCGUGCGGUCGAUACGGGCAUGACUGGAGUUCGGCAGGGGAGACUGGAAUUCCUGGUGUAGCGGUGAAAUGCGCAGAUAUCAGGAGGAACACCGGUGGCGAAGGCGGGUCUCUGGGCCGAUACUGACGCUGAUGCGCGAAAGCUAGGGGAGCGAACGGG